This 495-nucleotide ribosomal RNA is filed under the name uncultured bacterium. RNAcentral describes it as "partial 16S ribosomal RNA". It matches the Rfam family "Bacterial small subunit ribosomal RNA", at positions 28 to 507 of the family's 1533-position model. The record is from RNAcentral.
GACGAACGCUGGCGGCGUGCCUAAUACAUGCAAGUAGAACGCUGAAGGAGGAGCUUGCUUCUCUGGAUGAGUUGCGAACGGGUGAGUAACGCGUAGGUAACCUGCCUGGUAGCGGGGGAUAACUAUUGGAAACGAUAGCUAAUACCGCAUAAGAGUAGAUGUUGCAUGACAUUUUCUUAAAAGGUGCAAUUGCAUCACUACCAGAUGGACCUGCGUUGUAUUAGCUAGUUGGUGAGGUAACGGCUCACCAAGGCAACGAUACAUAGCCGACCUGAGAGGGUGAUCGGCCAAGCUGGGACGGAGACACGGCCCAGAACACUACGGGAGGCAGCAGUAGGGAAUCUUCGGCAAUGGACGGAAGUCUGAACGAGCAACGCCGCGUGAGUGAAGGAGGUUGUCGGAUCGUAAAGAUCUGUUAUAAGAGAAGAACGAGUGUGAGAGUGGAAAGUUCACACUGUGACGGUAUCUGAACAGAAAGGGACGGCUAACUACGUG